This 253-nucleotide ribosomal RNA is filed under the name uncultured bacterium. RNAcentral describes it as "partial 16S ribosomal RNA". It matches the Rfam family "Bacterial small subunit ribosomal RNA", at positions 524 to 776 of the family's 1533-position model. The record is from RNAcentral.
UACGGAGGGGGCUAGCGUUGUUCGGAAUUACUGGGCGUAAAGCGCACGUAGGCGGACCGGACAGUCAGAGGUGAAAUCCCAGGGCUCAACCUUGGAACUGCCUUUGAAACUAUCGGUCUGGAGUUCGAGAGAGGUGAGUGGAAUUCCGAGUGUAGAGGUGAAAUUCGUAGAUAUUCGGAGGAACACCAGUGGCGAAGGCGGCUCACUGGCUCGAUACUGACGCUGAGGUGCGAAAGCGUGGGGAGCAAACAGG